CGUGUCGUGAGAUGUUGGGUUAAGUCCCGUAACGAGCGCAACCCUUGUCCUUAGUUACCAGCACGUUAUGGUGGGCACUCUAAGGAGACUGCCGGUGGACAACCGGAGGAAGUGGGGAUGACGUCAAGUCAUCAUGGCCCUUACGGCCUGGGCUACACACGUGCUACAAUGGUCGGUACAAAGGGUUGCCAAGCCGCGAGGUGGAGCUAAUCCCAUAAAACCGAUCGUAGUCCGGAUCGCAGUCUGCAACUCGACUGCGUGAAGUCGGAAUCGCUAGUAAUCGUGAAUCAGAAUGUCACGGUGAAUACGUUCCCGGGCCUU
RNAcentral lists this ribosomal RNA (321 nucleotides) under uncultured Pseudomonas sp. RNAcentral's name for it is "bacterial SSU rRNA". It matches the Rfam family "Bacterial small subunit ribosomal RNA", at positions 1061 to 1382 of the family's 1533-position model. Lineage: Bacteria; Pseudomonadati; Pseudomonadota; Gammaproteobacteria; Pseudomonadales; Pseudomonadaceae. The record is from RNAcentral.